This 492-nucleotide ribosomal RNA is filed under the name uncultured bacterium. Its description in RNAcentral is "partial 16S ribosomal RNA". It matches the Rfam family "Bacterial small subunit ribosomal RNA", at positions 29 to 507 of the family's 1533-position model. The record is from RNAcentral.
AGUGAACGCUGGCGGUAGGCCUAACACAUGCAAGUCGAACGGCAGCACAGUAAGAGCUUGCUCUUACGGGUGGCGAGUGGCGGACGGGUGAGGAAUACGUCGGAAUCUACUUUUUCGUGGGGGAUAACGUAGGGAAACUUACGCUAAUACCGCAUACGACCUACGGGUGAAAGCAGGGGAUCUUCGGACCUUGCGCGAUUGAAUGAGCCGAUGUCGGAUUAGCUAGUUGGCGGGUUAAAGGCCCACCAAGGCGACGAUCCGUAGCUGGUCUGAGAGGAUGAUCAGCCACACUGGAACUGAGACACGGUCCAGACUCCUACGGGAGGCAGCAGUGGGGAAUAUUGGACAAUGGGCGCAAGCAUGAUCCAGCCAUACCGAGUGGGUGAAGAAGGCCUUCGGGUUGUAAAGCCCUUUUGUUGGGAAAGAAAAGCAGCAGGUUAAUACCCCGCUGUUCUGACGGUAACCAAAGAAUAAGCACCGGCUAACUUCGUG